AGUGAACGCUGGCGGUAGGCCUAACACAUGCAAGUCGAACGGCAGCACAGUAAGAUCUUGCUCUUACGGGUGGCGAGUGGCGGACGGGUGAGGAAUACAUCGGAAUCUACUUUUUCGUGGGGGAUAACGUAGGGAAACUGACGCUAAUACCGCAUACGACCUACGGGUGAAAGCAGGGGAUCUUCGGACCUUGCGCGAUUGAAUGAGCCGAUGUCGGAUUAGCUAGUUGGCGGGGUAAAGGCCCACCAAGGCGACGAUCCGUAGCUGGCCUGAGAGGAUGAUCAGCCACACUGGAACUGAGACACGGUCCAGACUCCUACGGGAGGCAGCAGUGGGGAAUAUUGGACAAUGGGCGCAAGCCUGAUCCAGCAAUACCGCGUGGGUGAAGAAGGCCUUCGGGUUGUAAAGCCCUUUUGUUGGGAAAGAAAAGCAGCAGGUUAAUACCCCGCUGUUCUGACGGUACCCAAAGAAUAAGCACCGGCUAACUUCGUG
RNAcentral lists this ribosomal RNA (492 nucleotides) under uncultured bacterium. RNAcentral's name for it is "partial 16S ribosomal RNA". It matches the Rfam family "Bacterial small subunit ribosomal RNA", at positions 29 to 507 of the family's 1533-position model. The record is from RNAcentral.